RNAcentral lists this transfer RNA (72 nucleotides) under Stegodyphus dumicola. RNAcentral describes it as "tRNA-Ile". It matches the Rfam family "tRNA". From Rfam's summary of the family: Transfer RNA (tRNA) molecules are approximately 80 nucleotides in length. Their secondary structure includes four short double-helical elements and three loops (D, anti-codon, and T loops). Further hydrogen bonds mediate the characteristic L-shaped molecular structure. tRNAs have two regions of fundamental functional importance: the anti-codon, which is responsible for specific mRNA codon recognition, and the 3' end, to which the tRNAs corresponding amino acid is attached (by aminoacyl-tRNA synthetases). tRNAs cope with the degeneracy of the genetic code in two manners: having more than one tRNA (with a specific anti-codon) for a particular amino acid; and 'wobble' base-pairing, i.e. permitting non-standard base-pairing at the 3rd anti-codon position. Lineage: Eukaryota; Metazoa; Arthropoda; Arachnida; Araneae; Eresidae. The record is from RNAcentral.
GCCUUCGUGGUGUAAUGGUAGCAUGCUGGGCCGAUAUUCCAGAGAUCCGUGGUUCGAUUCCCGGCGAAGGCU